Molecule: ribosomal RNA, 301 nt
Filed under: uncultured bacterium
Lineage: Bacteria
Description: partial 16S ribosomal RNA
Rfam family: Bacterial small subunit ribosomal RNA
Source: RNAcentral
CAGUCGCCGCGGUAAUACGUAGGGUGCAAGCGUUAAUCGGAAUUACUGGGCGUAAAGCGUGCGCAGGCGGUUUGUUAAGACAGAUGUGAAAUCCCCGGGCUCAACCUGGGAACUGCAUUUGUGACUGGCAAGCUAGAGUGUGGCAGAGGGGGGUGGAAUUCCGCGUGUAGCAGUGAAAUGCGUAGAUAUGCGGAGGAACACCGAUGGCGAAGGCAGCCCCCUGGGCCAACACUGACGCUCAUGCACGAAAGCGUGGGGAGCAAACAGGAUUAGAUACCCCCGUAGUCCCUGUCUCUUAUAC